UACGUAGGGGGCAAGCGUUGUUCGGAAUUACUGGGCGUAAAGGGCGCGUAGGCGGCCUGUUAAGUCGAACGUGAAAUCCCCGGGCUCAACCCGGGAACUGCGUCCGAAACUGGCAGGCUCGAAUUCGGGAGAGGGAUGCGGAAUUCCAGGUGUAGCGGUGAAAUGCGUAGAUAUCUGGAGGAACAUCGGUGGCGAAGGCGGCAUCCUGGACCGAUAUUGACGCUGAGGCGCGAAAGCCAGGGGAGCAAACGGG
Molecule: ribosomal RNA, 253 nt
Filed under: uncultured bacterium
Lineage: Bacteria
Description: partial 16S ribosomal RNA
Rfam family: Bacterial small subunit ribosomal RNA
Source: RNAcentral